RNAcentral lists this ribosomal RNA (496 nucleotides) under uncultured bacterium. RNAcentral describes it as "partial 16S ribosomal RNA". It matches the Rfam family "Bacterial small subunit ribosomal RNA", at positions 28 to 507 of the family's 1533-position model. The record is from RNAcentral.
GAUGAACGCUGGCGGCGUGCCUAAUACAUGCAAGUCGAGUGAACGGACGAGAAGCUUGCUUCUCUGAUGUUAGCGGCGGACGGGUGAGUAACACGUGGAUAACCUACCUAUAAGACUGGGAUAACUUCGGGAAACCGGAGCUAAUACCGAUGAUAUUUUGAACCGCAUGGUUCAAAAGUGAAAGACGGUCUUGCUGUCACUUAUAGAUGGAUCCGCGCUGCAUUAGCUAGUUGGUAAGGUAACGGCUUACCAAGGCAACGAUGCAUAGCCGACCUGAGAGGGUGAUCGGCCACACUGGAACUGAGACACGGUCCAGACUCCUACGGGAGGCAGCAGUAGGGAAUCUUCCGCAAUGGGCGAAAGCCUGACGGAGCAACGCCGCGUGAGUGAUGAAGGUCUUCGGAUCGUAAAACUCUGUUAUUAGGGAAGAACAUAUGUGUAAGUAACUGUGCACAUCUUGACGGUACCUAAUCAGAAAGCCACGGCUAACUACGUG